Molecule: ribosomal RNA, 260 nt
Filed under: uncultured Bacteroidota bacterium
Lineage: Bacteria; Pseudomonadati; Bacteroidota
Description: uncultured Bacteroidetes bacterium partial 16S ribosomal RNA
Rfam family: Bacterial small subunit ribosomal RNA
Source: RNAcentral
GGUCAUGCUGGGGACGUCUACAAAACUAGCCGCCGUAAGCGUGGAGGAAGGUGGGGAUGACGUCAAAUCAGCACGGCCCUUACGUCCAGGGCUACACACGUGCUACAAUGGCAGGUACAGAGGGCAGCCACUUGGUGACAAGGAGCAAAUCUCAAAAGCCGGUCUCAGUUCGGAUCGGAGUCUGCAACUCGACUCCGUGAAGUUGGAUUCGCUAGUAAUCGUAGAUCAGCAAUGCUACGGUGAAUACGUUCCCGGGCCUU